This 158-nucleotide ribosomal RNA is filed under the name Globba xantholeuca. RNAcentral's name for it is "5.8S ribosomal RNA". It matches the Rfam family "5.8S ribosomal RNA". Rfam says of the family: 5.8S ribosomal RNA (5.8S rRNA) is a component of the large subunit of the eukaryotic ribosome. It is transcribed by RNA polymerase I as part of the 45S precursor that also contains 18S and 28S rRNA. The record is from RNAcentral. Lineage: Eukaryota; Viridiplantae; Streptophyta; Magnoliopsida; Zingiberales; Zingiberaceae.
GACUCUCGGCAAUGGAUAUCUCGGCUCUUGCAUCGAUGAAGAACGUAGUGAAAUGCGAUACUUGGUGUGAAUUGCAGAAUCUCGUGAACCAUUGAGUCUUUGAACGCAAGUUGUGCUCGAGGCUUUGUGGCCGAGGGCACGCCUGCUUGGGCGUCAUG